Molecule: ribosomal RNA, 469 nt
Filed under: uncultured bacterium
Lineage: Bacteria
Description: bacterial SSU rRNA
Rfam family: Bacterial small subunit ribosomal RNA
Source: RNAcentral
AGAGUUUGAUUAUGGCUCAGAGCGAACGCUGGCGGCAGGCUUAACACAUGCAAGUCGAGCGGGCGUAGCAAUACGUCAGCGGCAGACGGGUGAGUAACGCGUGGGAACGUACCUUUGGUUCGGAACAACACAGGGAAACUUGUGCUAAUACCGGAUAAGCCCUUACGGGGAAAGAUUUAUCGCCGAAAGAUCGGCCCGCGUCUGAUUAGCUAGUUGGUAGGGUAAUGGCCUACCAAGGCGACGAUCAGUAGCUGGUCUGAGAGGAUGAUCAGCCACAUUGGGACUGAGACACGGCCCAAACUCCUACGGGAGGCAGCAGGUGGGGAAUAUUGGACAAGUGGGGGCAACCCUGAACUCCAGCCAUGCCGCGUGAGUGAUGAAGGCCCUAGGGUUGUAAAGCUCUUUUGUGCGGGAAGAUAAUGACGGUACCGCAAGAAUAAGCCCCGGCUAACUUCGUGCCAGCCGCCGC